UUCUGCUUCUGCUUCCGUGAAUGAUAAAAUGUUGCCCAUGUUCAAGCACCAAGCCACCAAGUCCAUCAGUCUUUGCAAACUGCAAAUCAGCCGAAUGCCUUCUCAUUUGAUUUGCAAAAGAACUCAUAACUCUCUUAUUACCACCACUAGCCAGUCCCAUUUUAUUCAACAAGGGAACCUCAAUCUAACAGUAUUUGUUCUAGAGCAGGCCAGAAGUCCCAAAAUCCAAGUUUUGCCACUUAAACGAGCAACCUCUCCGACCGAGCCUGUCUCCUCAUCUAGAAAGAGUUGAUAACAAUUGAGAAGAAUGAAAACCUCAGUUCCUAACAAGGCUAUGAGAAUUGGAAACACUAUAGCUUUUUUGGCAAUAUCUGAAAUAUCUAUUACAAUUUAAAAAAUACGAAGCCUUUCAUCCACCUGGGAAUGCAUCCAAUAGAAACAAAGGCACAAUAAGAGGACAGAGAUGCAAGAAUGAUAUAAAAGAAGCGAGCUGAGAGAUAUGGGGACCUCAUACCACCAAGAAAGUAGUGCUGGGAGCAAAGUGCGUCCUUUGGACCUGAGGUCCCUGCGCUGAGAUGCUCCCAGACCAAGGGAAGACUGAUGAAGAGGACCUUCCUCCAGAGCCGACAGAGAGAGAAAGCCUUCCCCUGGAAGCAGCGCCCCGAAUUUGGACUUGUAGCCUAUUUGACUGUGAGAGAAUAAACUUCUUUUUGUUAAAGCCAUCCACUUGUGCUAUUUCUGUUAUAGCAGCACUAGAUCACUAAGACAGUCGCUUUUUUCCAUUGUAAGAGAAUCACCAUCCUUUGUUUAUAAAGAUGUAACACCGUGAGGAGACUUGGUGUGUAGGAGCCUGCAUGUACAUUCAUGUGCACAUUUCUCCUCUGAACACAGGUUUGGGAAACUUGUUUUUCUCUCUGAAAGCUUGUAAACAUCUUCUUUUUGUCCCUGUUGUUCUGGAAUUUCAUGAUGGUGUAACUUGUUGUCAGGCGCUGUGGAGUCCGUUCCUACUCAUAGCCACCCGAUGUACACUUCCAGCGCUGCAUUAGUUUGUUGAAACAUCUCAAUUGGUAUUCAGUCAAUUCCUGGAGCCUUGGGUAUAACUUGGCAUGGACCUAUUUUCAUCCAAUUUUCUGGGCACCUAAUGGGCCACACUAUCGUAACCAAUAUUCUCUAGAGUUCUUGAAUUGUUUCUUUGAUGAUUUCCUCCCUUCUCUUUUCUGUGUUUUCUUUCUGGAACUUCUAAAGCUCGGAUACCAGGCCUCCUAGACUGGUGCUCUGAUUUCCUGAUGAUUUCUCUCCCGGUUUCCAUCUUUUUGUCCUUUUUCUCUGCUUUCUGUGACAUUUCUUUAUAGCCAACCUUUCUAUUCUAAUUUUUCAUUGUUAUUGUCAUAAUUUUAAUUUCAACAGCUGUUUUAAGCAUGUGGGUAAAACGUCAUUUAUAAAGAAAAAAGGUUUGAACUUUUUAAAGAGCCUCUACACGUAAAAUAAACAACAAAGUUUUUUUUUUGAUUGAGAUUGGUUUUUGCCAUAACCAGCCUAGCUCAAGAAGGUAGUUUCAACUUCACACAAUACGCAGCUAAAACCAAGACACCUUUGUGUAAUUGCUAAAUUGUUGAUUUUAGUGACUUGCGUGGAGCUAGUCAGCUAGGAAACAUUACAUUUCGAAGCAAGGGAAAUAAGAAAGGUGUUACUUUAGAAUCAAACGAUACCAUUAGGAGGCGUACUGACAACAUGUCGGAUAGUUUAGCACUGAUCCAGAAAGCUGUCAAAUAACAAAAAUGCUUUCACUGCAGGUGGAUGGCUCUAUAGACUUUUUGUUGUUGUUAGUUGCCAUCAAGUUGCUUCCAACUCACGGCGACCCCAUGUGUACAGAGUAGAACUGCUCCAUAGGAUUUUCAAGGCUGUGACCCUACAGAAGCAGAUCGCCAGGCUUGUCUUCCUAUGUGCCUCUGGGUGGGUUCCAGCUGCCGCCCUCUCUGCUAGUAGUCAAGUGCUUAACCAUUUGCACCAUUCAGGGACGCCUCUACAGACUUUAGUAACUGUAAUAUUUACGUAGUACCAGUUAGAACCCCCAAAGCUAAAGGUCUGGAAGAACAUCCAAGUUCCAACACAAUCUGCUGGAGAUGAAAUAUUCAAAGUGGCAAUAAAUACUUUGGAAAUACAUACAAUAUUUUGGAAAUACUGUGUAAGUCUAAGCUCUGUGCAGUUCUACAUCAUUAAUUCCUUCUGGGAAACCUAAGAGCCAGGUAAUAAUAUUGUCUUAUUCUUAGAAAAGCUUUCCUAUGUAUGUAAAAAUUUGCCUGUAGAGUUGAAUUCUACAUCAAAUGAGAUUCUCAAAAAUGGUGGAUCUAAGAAAUACAAAUCUCUACAAUCUCUUCCGUUUAGGAUCAGAAUACCAUAUUUUCAUACCAAAGUGUAUGGGCUUGUCUUAGUUAUCUAGUGCUGCUAUAAUAGAAAUACCACAAGUGGGCGGC
Long non-coding RNA from Loxodonta africana (African savanna elephant), 2474 nucleotides. RefSeq lists it as uncharacterized. The transcript has 3 exons. The record is from RefSeq and is a predicted model, not a curated record. NCBI's taxonomy places the organism in Eukaryota, Metazoa, Chordata, Mammalia, Proboscidea, Elephantidae.